This 253-nucleotide ribosomal RNA is filed under the name uncultured bacterium. Its description in RNAcentral is "partial 16S ribosomal RNA". It matches the Rfam family "Bacterial small subunit ribosomal RNA", at positions 524 to 776 of the family's 1533-position model. The record is from RNAcentral.
GACGGAGGGUGCUAGCGUUGUUCGGAAUGACUGGGCGUAAAGGGCGCGUAGGCGGCCGCUUGCGUCGGAUGUGAAAGCCCGGGGCUCAACCCCGGAACGGCAUCCGAUACGGGGCGGCUCGAGACCGAGAGAGGUGAGUGGAAUACCCAGCGUAGAGGUGAAAUUCGUAGAUAUUGGGUGGAACACCGGUGGCGAAAGCGGCUCACUGGCUCGGUUCUGACGCUGAGGCGCGAAAGCGUGGGGAGCAAACAGG